UCCCUGGUGGCUCAGAGGUUAAAGCAUCUGCCUGCAAUGUGGGAGACCCGGGUUUGAUCCCUGGGUUGGGAA
RNAcentral lists this transfer RNA (72 nucleotides) under Bos taurus (domestic cattle). It matches the Rfam family "tRNA". From Rfam's summary of the family: Transfer RNA (tRNA) molecules are approximately 80 nucleotides in length. Their secondary structure includes four short double-helical elements and three loops (D, anti-codon, and T loops). The record is from Rfam by way of RNAcentral. Lineage: Eukaryota; Metazoa; Chordata; Mammalia; Artiodactyla; Bovidae. RNAcentral also lists the same sequence under 2 other names.